UUACGUUACGUUAUUCAAUGAGAUUAA
RNAcentral lists this small RNA (27 nucleotides) under Bombyx mori (domestic silkworm). Its description in RNAcentral is "ovarian small RNA-36592". The record is from RNAcentral. Lineage: Eukaryota; Metazoa; Arthropoda; Insecta; Lepidoptera; Bombycidae.